Molecule: ribosomal RNA, 213 nt
Filed under: Staphylococcus sp. KY49P
Lineage: Bacteria; Bacillati; Bacillota; Bacilli; Caryophanales; Staphylococcaceae
Description: partial 23S ribosomal RNA
Rfam family: Bacterial large subunit ribosomal RNA
Source: RNAcentral
GAUAGGUGGGAGGCUUUGAAGUGUGGACGCCAGUCUGCAUGGAGCCAACCUUGAAAUACCACCCUUUAACGUUUGAUGUUCUAACCUAGGCCCAUAAACUGGGUCGGGGACCGUGUCUGGUGGGUAGUUUGACUGGGGCGGUCUCCUCCUAAAGAGUAACGGAGGAGCACGAAGGUUAGCUAAUCCUGGUCGGACAUCAGGAGGUUAGUGCAA